RNAcentral lists this ribosomal RNA (229 nucleotides) under uncultured bacterium. RNAcentral's name for it is "partial 16S ribosomal RNA". It matches the Rfam family "Bacterial small subunit ribosomal RNA", at positions 568 to 796 of the family's 1533-position model. The record is from RNAcentral.
UCCGUAGGCGGGCGUCUAAGUCAGUGGUGAAAUCUUACAGCUCAACUGUAAAAUUGCCAUUGAUACUGGAUGUCUUGAAUUAAUGUGAAGUGGUUAGAAUGUGUAGUGUAGCGGUGAAAUGCAUAGAUAUUACACAGAAUACCAAUUGCGAAGGCAGAUCACUAACACUAUAUUGACGCUGAGGGACGAAAGCGUGGGGAGCGAACAGGAUUAGAUACCCUGGUAGUCC